This is a small nucleolar RNA of Rosa rugosa (rugosa rose), 98 nucleotides long. RefSeq annotates it as small nucleolar RNA snoR27. NCBI's taxonomy places the organism in Eukaryota, Viridiplantae, Streptophyta, Magnoliopsida, Rosales, Rosaceae. The transcript has a single exon. The record is from RefSeq and is a predicted model, not a curated record.
UCUGGAUCGAUGAUGUUAAUAAAUCUGCGUUAUCUAUCUGCAACUUCCCAGAAUUCAUUCUGGGAAUUGAAGAUACUAUCAAGUUACUGAGAUCUCAU